RNAcentral lists this ribosomal RNA (498 nucleotides) under uncultured bacterium. RNAcentral's name for it is "partial 16S ribosomal RNA". It matches the Rfam family "Bacterial small subunit ribosomal RNA", at positions 30 to 523 of the family's 1533-position model. The record is from RNAcentral.
ACUGAACGCUGGCGGCAUGCCUUACACAUGCAAGUCGAACGGUAACAGGUCUUCGGAUGCUGACGAGUGGCGAACGGGUGAGUAAUACAUCGGAACGUGCCUAGUAGUGGGGGAUAACUACUCGAAAGAGUGGCUAAUACCGCAUGAGAUCUACGGAUGAAAGCAGGGGAUCGCAAGACCUCGUGCUACUAGAGCGGCCGAUGGCAGACUAGGUAGUUGGUGGGAUAAAAGCUUACCAAGCCGACGAUCUGUAGCUGGUCUGAGAGGACGAUCAGCCACACUGGGACUGAGACACGGCCCAGACUCCUACGGGAGGCAGCAGUGGGGAAUUUUGGACAAUGGGCGCAAGCCUGAUCCAGCAAUGCCGCGUGCAGGAUGAAGGCCUUCGGGUUGUAAACUGCUUUUGUACGGAACGAAAAGCCCCGGGUUAAUACCCUGGGGUCAUGACGGUACCGUAAGAAUAAGCACCGGCUAACUACGUGCCAGCCGCCGCCGUAA